CAGGGAGACAACAAAAAUGUUAAAUAUUAAUUUUUGUCACCUUAGGUCGAUCGGUAUCUCAGGUUCUUAAUUAUUUUAAGAAUUUCAUUUCCUAAGUUUUUUCUAGGUCACACCCAUUACUUUCCCUGGGCCAUUAGCUCAGGUGGUUAGAGCGCACCCCUGAUAAGGGUGAGGUCCCUGGUUCAAGUCCAGGAUGGCCCAUACCUCUAUGUUGGGGGUAUAGUUCAGUUGGUAGAGCGCCUGCUUUGCAAGCAGGAUGUCAGCGGUUCGAGUCCGCUUACCUCCACUGAUUACCACUUCUGCCAUAAAUUUAAAGAAGGGAAUAGUUAUUAAGUGUGAUUUAAUUCUGAACGAUUCUAGCUUCUUAAUAAAUACAUUAAGAUGCUGGAUUCAUUGAAUUUUAUUCAUUGUUUUCAGAGAACCUUGACAACUGCAUAGAUUAUUUUUAAAGACAAUAAGCAUCUUUAAUGAUGCAGAUUUAUUAUUUGUGUUAAUGCAUUAAUAACAAUUUUAUUGAGCUGAUGCUUCAA
RNAcentral lists this transfer RNA (530 nucleotides) under uncultured Prochlorococcus sp. Its description in RNAcentral is "partial 16S-23S ribosomal RNA intergenic spacer". The stretch from base 214 to 286 matches the Rfam family "tRNA". The record is from RNAcentral. Lineage: Bacteria; Bacillati; Cyanobacteriota; Cyanophyceae; Synechococcales; Prochlorococcaceae.